This 484-nucleotide ribosomal RNA is filed under the name uncultured bacterium. RNAcentral's name for it is "partial 16S ribosomal RNA". It matches the Rfam family "Bacterial small subunit ribosomal RNA", at positions 28 to 507 of the family's 1533-position model. The record is from RNAcentral.
AUUGAACGCUGGCGGCAUGCUUUACACAUGCAAGUCGAACGGCAGCGCGGGCUUCGGCCUGGCGGCGAGUGGCGAACGGGUGAGUAAUGCAUCGGAACGUGCCCAGUAGUGGGGGAUAGCCCGGCGAAAGCCGGAUUAAUACCGCAUACGACCUGAGGGUGAAAGCGGGGGACCGAAAGGCCUCGCGCUAUUGGAGCGGCCGAUGUCGGAUUAGCUAGUUGGUGGGGUAAAGGCUUACCAAGGCGACGAUCCGUAGCUGGUCUGAGAGGACGACCAGCCACACUGGGACUGGGACACGGCCCAGACUCCUACGGGAGGCAGCAGUGGGGAAUUUUGGACAAUGGGGGCAACCCUGAUCCAGCCAUGCCGCGUGCGGGAAGAAGGCCUUCGGGUUGUAAACCGCUUUUGUUCGGGAAGAAAUCCUCUGGGCCAAUACCCCGGGGGGAUGACGGUACCGGAAGAAUAAGCACCGGCUAACUACGUG